RNAcentral lists this long non-coding RNA (3382 nucleotides) under Equus caballus (horse). Its description in RNAcentral is "lncRNA (ENSECAG00000037415.3)". Lineage: Eukaryota; Metazoa; Chordata; Mammalia; Perissodactyla; Equidae. The record is from RNAcentral.
GCACGAUGUGGGGCAGACCUCCUCAGGCUCCCUGGCCGAUUCUGUAUUCAGAAUAAUCCUCGCUCCUGUGAGUAUUUGCUCGACUAGACCACUGUACGGAUAUUCGAUAAUGAGAUGGCCGGCGCUGCCCUCCCUCCCCCGCGGAGCCGCAGCUCUUGCCCUAGUGAGCGCUGCCCUUACUGUGUGCUGGUGCUGCUCUGGGCGCUGGGCACUCAGCAGAGAAGAAACAAAAAUCCCUGGCAUUUUAGUGGGAGACAGACAAGAUGGGAUAAAUAAACAUAACAUGCAGCACGUUGGAUGAUAAUUUGUGCAAAGGAGAAAAGUCUUGCGGAGAAGGAGGUAUAAAAUGUGGGGAGCUGACAUUUUAGAGGGAGCGGCCAGGCGUGGGCACACAGGAGCAAAGACCUGGCAAAAGUGAGGGAGCACGGAGCCUGUAAAUAUCUGAGGAAAGAACCUUCUAGCAAAGGGAGCAGCCGCAUGCCAAGGCCCCUUCUCGGACAAGAGGCCAGUGUGGCUGGAGGAGGGGGAGGAAGUGGGCAGAGGGGGGACUGCAGUGGGAUGUGAGGUCAGAGAGGCGAGGGGGUGGCAGGCCCCCGUGUGGGCCACGCAAGGGACCUGGUUCCAGCCUGUCGGUUGCAAGCCAUGCAGGAGGUUGAGCAGGGGAGGGACGAGGCCUACUCAUGUUUUCAUGGGAUCGUCCCACUGCUGGGCGGAGGACGCUGAACAGGGAGGAGCUGCGCAGAGAGACCAGCAAGGAGGCUGCUGAGGUGAUCGGACCCGGAGUUCAUGCUCCUUUAUCCUGCAUGGCCCUGGGGUGAGAUUCCAGGAGCGGGCCCUCCCCUUGGAUCACCACAUCAGCGCGAGGUUCUCCCUGGCAUCCUUGACCUGCAUUCCUGAUUCUGGCUUGGCCACCAGGAAUGCAGCCAAUGUGUGACAAAGCCACCGGAGGAUCAAAAGCUACGGAGUGACCUGAACAGCCUUGGAUGCAGGUGACACGUGUGCAAGGAGUUCAGGUCAACGAGCGUCAUGGUCAGGCCAGCGGGUCGUGGGGUCUGCUCAGCCGGGGUCUGAGUCCAGCUCUCACUGGUUAAAUUUAGUGGAUAAAUUGCUUCACCUUGCUAAGCCUCAGUUUUCUUCUCUGCGAAAUGGGCUGGUGGGGCCUCUGCACGGAUUACUUGAUGGGAAGCAUGUAAAGCUCUGAGCGGCUCACAGCCUGGCUCCCCCCACCGCCUUUCCUCCUCUUCCUCUCCCUCGCCUCUCUUUUCUGCCUUCUGAUGUGUGAAUAGGACUUGAAAGCCGGGGUGGCGGCCCUGUGAGGGUUGCUCUCUGCAUAACGAGCUUUCAUCCCCGUUGCCAUGACAGCUGUAAUGCUCUCCCCUCGGGAGCAGCCGAGGUCUAACAACUGCUGAAGAGGCCCCUUUAGAGCACGUUGAACACUCUAAAGAGAAUUUCCGCUCCCACAUCAGGGCACUUGACAAUCGUUUUCCUCCUCGAGACUCAGCUCCGAGGAGUGGUGUCCAGCUGUGGGAAGGGAUGCCGGGCUGGGUUCAGUCUUUAAUGAGAGCUAUCUGGGGUGUGGCACGACCUUCCCCCUCCAUCAUUCCUUGCUGUCUCCCAGGGAGGGAGCUGGUCCUGCUGACCGUCAGCCAAGGCCGGUGCUGGGAGGUCCCUGUGGGCACAGAACCUCCUUUUCAAAGGCUCUCUCUCUGGUGAGCAGCCAUCCACAUUUACAUGACAUUUGUUCAGGAGUGGCUCUUACCUGUGCAUCACUGUUGUUUAAACAUAAAUUUACCGCCCCCUCCUUUUAAGCACCAUAGUAGGCGUAGAUCUGAUAGCCUACCAGCAGAACUUUAGAUUGUCAUCUUAGGGCCAGUUGGUCCUCAGCCGCAUCACAAGCCAGAGGAAAGAACGAGGGUGUUUGGCCCCUGGGUAUAGGAAAUAGAUUUGAGCUUUCUAUCUAUGAGAUGCCCAAUGAAAAUUUCAGUUAUUUGAUAAUGCGAGACACGGUUCCCCAAAUUUCUUCCCUUUCUAAAACAGCACCAGUGAAACAUCAUUAACAUCGAGAAUGCUUAUUACAACGCUCUCGGUUGCAAAUGAUGGACUCUCAGCUCAAAUAAACAUAAGCAAAGGCCGUGUUUAGACUCAUAACUAAAAAGUCUGGGAGCUGGUCUGGCAUUAGCUGCACCUAGACCCAGAGUCUCAAUCUCUGUCUGUCUGUCUGUCUCUCUUCCCUCCUCCUCGUGGACUUUCCCCACGUGGCCAGUGUCGUGGCUGGCUGCCCAGAACCCACAUCCUCUCAGCCCCAUAACCCAAGUAGAAAGAGUGCCUUCCCGAGAACCUGGUGAGGAAUGUUCUGGAGAGAACCCUGAGAGGUCAGGCUGGGUCCAGCAUGAGUCAUGUCAGCUGGGAAGUGAGCUCUCUGAUGGAGAUGCCUGGGUUACGUCGUAAGCAAUAACAUCCGUUGAGUCACAAGCUUAAUAUGCUCAGUGUAUUUUUUAAAUGAAAUUUUUAUUUUAGAAUUGCUUUAGAUUUACAGAAAACUUGCAAAGAUAGGACAGAGUUCUCAGAUAUCCGCACCAGUUUCCCGUUAUUGACGUCUUACCGUAGCGCAGUGCGCUUGUCCAGUUAAUGGAUCAACACGGAUCCGUUAUUCCUAACUGAAGUCACUCUUGAGUCAGAUCUCUUUGGUUUUCCCCAGUGCCCUCUUUCUGUUGUAGGGUCCCAUCCAGGAAACCACUUUACGCUUGGUCACCACGUCUCCCGAGGCCCCUCUGUGCUUUGACUAUUUCUCACUCUUCUGGUUUUUGAUGCCCUUGCCGGUUUUGAGGAGUGCUGGUCAGCUGUUCUGUAGGAUGUCCCUCCACCGGGAUUGGCCCGAUGUUCUUCUCACAAUGAGACGGGUGUGGGUUUUGGGGAGGAAGAGCCCAGAAGUCAGGAGGCGUUUUCUUCACAUCAUGCUCUGGGUCUGUUCCGUCAACAUGGCCUAUCUGGCCUAUCACUGUCGGCGUUGACCUGGACCUCCUGACUCGGGGGUGUCUGCCAGGCUUCUCCCUGUAAAGCUACUCUUCACCCCCCUUCCCUCACGUGCUCUGUGGGAGGAAGUUGCCGUGCACAGCCCACACUAAGGAGAGGGCAGGUGUGCCCGCCUCCUCGAGGGCAGGCUAGCUGCAAGAAGUCUUCUGCCUGGGAAAUAUGUCUCCCCCCACUGUGUAUUUCUUUAUUCAGCCGUGUAUUUAUAUCAGUAUGGACUCAUAGGUAUUUAUUUUAUUCUUCGGGUUAUAAUCAAAUUAUACUUCAUUUAUUUUCUUCCUCAAAUUCUUCCAGCUUUGGUCAUUGCGAGCUCUUUCAGUUGAAUCUUGGGCAGCUUUGACCUUCCUCCAUC